UUCCACAGCCAUAUCACCCUGCAGCCCAAGACCGGUUACUCACUGAAGCUAAGCAGGGCUGAGCCUGGUCAGUACUUGGAUGGGAGACCACAUGGAAAAAUUAGGUUGUUGUUGCAA
RNAcentral lists this ribosomal RNA (117 nucleotides) under Danio rerio (zebrafish). Lineage: Eukaryota; Metazoa; Chordata; Actinopteri; Cypriniformes; Danionidae. The record is from RNAcentral.